UUUUGUGCCUGCCUGCCAAAAUGCCUGCGUUUGUCUCUCUGAGUUUUGGGAAAUUAAACAAGUCAGAUGUAUGUCGCCUUGAAGGCCGACAGGCAUUUUUAGAUUUUUGAACAAAGUUGUGGAAUUACAAAUUUUUUGGUCAUUAUUCACUAUUUGAGAAAGUAAGAGCAAUUUCGUAUACAGUUA
Non-coding RNA from Caenorhabditis elegans, 186 nucleotides. NCBI's taxonomy places the organism in Eukaryota, Metazoa, Nematoda, Chromadorea, Rhabditida, Rhabditidae. The record is from Ensembl.